GUUUAGCCCUGAUUGAAAUGGCAUCCUUUUUUUGUUUUUCUCAAAAAAAGAUAUAAUGUAAAGCAGGAAAUAGC
RNAcentral lists this small RNA (74 nucleotides) under Polaribacter sp. SA4-12. RNAcentral describes it as "Flavo-1 RNA". It matches the Rfam family "Flavo-1 RNA". Lineage: Bacteria; Pseudomonadati; Bacteroidota; Flavobacteriia; Flavobacteriales; Flavobacteriaceae. The record is from Rfam by way of RNAcentral.